RNAcentral lists this ribosomal RNA (238 nucleotides) under uncultured bacterium. RNAcentral describes it as "partial 16S ribosomal RNA". It matches the Rfam family "Bacterial small subunit ribosomal RNA", at positions 524 to 761 of the family's 1533-position model. The record is from RNAcentral.
UACGUAGGGUGCGAGCGUUGUCCGGAAUUAUUGGGCGUAAAGAGCUCGUAGGCGGUCUGUCGCGUCGAAUGUGAAAACCCGGGGCUCAACUCCGGGCUUGCAUUCGAUACGGGCAGGCUAGAGUUCGGCAGGGGAGACUGGAAUUCCUGGUGUAGCGGUGGAAUGCGCAGAUAUCAGGAGGAACACCGGUGGCGAAGGCGGGUCUCUGGGCCGAUACUGACACUGAGAAGCGAAAGCG